CUACUGGCAUCGCAAGGUGCCGGGAUGGGCUGGCGGGAGUCAGCAGAGGCCAUAGUAGCGGCUCGGAACCGGAGCAGUGAAGGGC
Molecule: non-coding RNA, 85 nt
Filed under: Paraburkholderia tuberum
Lineage: Bacteria; Pseudomonadati; Pseudomonadota; Betaproteobacteria; Burkholderiales; Burkholderiaceae
Source: RNAcentral